ACGGUCCUAAGGUAGCGAAAUUCCUUGUCGGGUAAGUUCCGACCCGCACGAAUGGCGUAACGACUUGGGCACUGUCUCAACAAGGGACCCGGCGAAAUUGUAGUAUGUGUGAAGAUGCACAUUACCCGCGAUAGGACGGAGAGACCCCGUAGAGCUUUACUGUAGUUUAACAUUGGAUUUUGAUAACACAUGUACAGGAUAGGUGGGAGGCUGAGAAACCGGCACGCCAGUGCCGAUGGAGCCGCUGUUGGGAUACCACUCUUGUGUUAUUGGAGUUCUAACGAAGUGCCGUAAACCGGGCUUCGGACAGUGUUAGAUGGGCAGUUUGACUGGGGCGGUCGCCUCCGAAAGAGUAACGGAGGCGUCCAAAGGUUCCCUCAGAAUGGUUGGAAACCAUUCACAGAGUGCAAAGGCAGAAGGGAGCUUGACUGCGAGACCGACAGGUCGAGCAGGUACGAAAGUAGGGCUUAGUGAUCCGGCGGUAUGAGAGUGGAAUUGCCGUCGCUCAACGGAUAAAAGCUACCUCGGGGAUAACAGGCUGAUCUCCCCCAAGAGUUCACAUCGACGGGGAGGUUUGGCACCUCGAUGUCGGCUCGUCGCAUCCUGGGGCUGGAGCAGGUCCCAAGGGUUUGGCUGUUCGCCAAUUAAAGCGGCACGCGAGCUGGGUUCAGAACGUCGUGAGACAGUUCGGUCCCUAUCCAUCGUGGGCGCAGGAGAUUUGAGAGGAGCUGUCCUUAGUACGAGAGGACCGGGAUGGACGCACCAAGGGUGAAUCAGUUGUCGUGCCAACGGCACAGCUGGGUAGCCAAGUGCGGAUCGGAUAAACGCUGAAGGCAUCUAAGCGUGAAGCCGACCUCAAGAUAAGAUCUCCCAUCCGAAAGGAGUAAGACCCCAUGAAGACCACAUGGUUGAUAGGCCGGAGGUGGAAGUGCAGUAAUGUACGGAGCUGACCGGUACUAAUAGGUCGAGGGCUUGAUCGA
Molecule: ribosomal RNA, 980 nt
Filed under: human gut metagenome
Description: bacterial LSU rRNA
Rfam family: Bacterial large subunit ribosomal RNA
Source: RNAcentral